Cicer arietinum (chickpea) is the source of this 1044-nucleotide non-coding RNA. The record is from RefSeq and is a predicted model, not a curated record. NCBI's taxonomy places the organism in Eukaryota, Viridiplantae, Streptophyta, Magnoliopsida, Fabales, Fabaceae.
UCCGCGAGUCAUUUUCUUUUAUCCUGUAUGACUAGAACAAGAAAAUGGUGUAAUAAGCUUAAUAGAAUUCAGAAACAAUCUCUUCUCUCUCACACACACAAACACAAAUGAAGUUUAUGAGUCACAUUGCGCAAUGGAGAAGCGGUGCGAAGGAAGCAUUAGACCGCACAGCGAUAAUCGCGAAGUUCCUUUGUUGCCUUCACUUCACCGACACCUACCUCUGUUCUCCAACUCACGUGUAUGGUCCUAGUAUGCUCCCUACCCUAAAUAUCGCCGGCGACGUUGUUCUUGUCGAACACCUCUCUCCACUUCUUGGGAACGUUGGUUAUGGUGAUUUGGUUCUUGUUCGCUCCCCUUUGAACCCUAAUCGGAACUUGACAAAGAGAAUUGUUGCUAUGGAAGGGGAUACUGUUACUUACUUUGACCCUUUGCAUUCUGAUUCCGAUCGAAUUGCUGUGGUGUGUGUGCUUAAUGGUGCCAAAGGGGCAUGUUUGGAUUCAAGGAGAUAACGUCUACGCUUCCCGUGAUUCACGUCAUUUUGGUCCCGUUCCAUUAGGUCUUAUAAAAGGAAAAGUGUUUUUCAGGGUUUGGCCACUCAAUAGCUUUGGACUGCUAGAUAACUGAAGAUACUUUAAAGAAAUGCUUAUAGUCAACCAUCCCUUAAAGUGCAUCUUAGUAUACUUGGGUGGAGCUUCAGUGAUUUCAAUGGAUGUGGCUGUUUGCAUGAGGAACACAUGAAUCAUGCUCCCUUUCUUGGCGACAAAGGAUACAUGUUUUAGCCUUUUAAAAAAAAACUUUAUAAAAGAACAGAGUGGACACUUACAUGCAGCAAGAACAAUUGGGUUAUGAACCAUGUAUUUUACCCCUGAUUUUUUUUUUUGCAGGGUAGGCUAACUUUGUUUUUAGUUGUUCAUUGUGAAUUUAUACCUGAAAUUACAGACAUAUAGAUUCAAAGAAGUACUUAAUCGUUCUUGCCUCAUUUGUCAGGUUGAUUGUUGUUUGCUAUGGUUAUGUGGAAUCUAGAGAUUCUAGACUGUUAAAAUA